This 541-nucleotide unclassified non-coding RNA is filed under the name Melitaea cinxia (Glanville fritillary). RNAcentral's name for it is "misc RNA ENSMCXG00005006836.1". Lineage: Eukaryota; Metazoa; Arthropoda; Insecta; Lepidoptera; Nymphalidae. The record is from RNAcentral.
AUUAAAACGCUCUCUGAACAGUCGUCAAGAGCCAAUGUUUCAGCAGCUAAUAAUCAUUAUUUAUUCAUUUUGUUUAUGUUCUGCCGCAUUUUAAUUCUGGUGUUGAAGCAGAUAUUCCUAGAUGUCGACAGCGGCUCUAUUUAUCAGCACGUAAAUGCUUUCAAAACUAAGAGUAGAUCAAAUAGCCACUUUUAUAAUCUAUAUCUUUGCGACGUAGAUCUAUGAUCAUCGGUAUGGAAAGUAGAUUCACAAUCGUAGCGUAACGUUUUCUAAUUAACACGAAAUUGUUUUGGACCUGUUUUAUCUGAUUUUUCACAGUGAGAUAAGUGUAAGAAUGCCAUACAACAGCUCUUCGGUGAGCACCGAUGCGUGGCUGUUCGGCCCACUGCCCUGACCCACAAAGAUGAUGAUUGUAUGUAGAUUUUGUAAGUCAUAAUUCAAGCGAGACGACAAUGUGAUGACAGCAUCCAUACGUUUUCUUCGCAUAUCAUAGCAAUAGUGAGAUUCGUGUGACGUGGUCGCCGCACGGCGCGCCCUCCAC